This is a long non-coding RNA of Melitaea cinxia (Glanville fritillary), 277 nucleotides long. RefSeq lists it as uncharacterized. The record is from RefSeq and is a predicted model, not a curated record. Lineage: Eukaryota; Metazoa; Arthropoda; Insecta; Lepidoptera; Nymphalidae. The transcript has 2 exons.
UCACAUAAUGCUAAGCGGCUAUCGUAGCCUAUAGACGCCUGCAACACCAGAAGUAUGUGCAAGACCAAUGAAGAUUGCUGCAAUAAAGCAUGUUUUCCAUUGAUGUGGAAAUGCAUGUCAUAAUUUUAUUUUAAAAGAAUCUAAUAUUAUAUUAUUUUAUUAUUUUACGGUACAGAAGGGUUACGAUUGGAUAAUUCAGGAGAAUUUGGAACUUUUUCGUAAAAUUAUUUUAUCUAAAUAUAAUAUUGUAUAAUACAAUAAAAUGAAAUAAAAUGUA